GCCUUCGUGGUGUAGUGGUCAGCACUCUCGACUCGUAUUCGAGAGGUCCGGGGUUCGUGUCCCAGCGAAGGCA
This 73-nucleotide transfer RNA is filed under the name Stegodyphus mimosarum. RNAcentral describes it as "tRNA-Thr for anticodon CGU". It matches the Rfam family "tRNA". Rfam says of the family: Transfer RNA (tRNA) molecules are approximately 80 nucleotides in length. Their secondary structure includes four short double-helical elements and three loops (D, anti-codon, and T loops). Further hydrogen bonds mediate the characteristic L-shaped molecular structure. tRNAs have two regions of fundamental functional importance: the anti-codon, which is responsible for specific mRNA codon recognition, and the 3' end, to which the tRNAs corresponding amino acid is attached (by aminoacyl-tRNA synthetases). tRNAs cope with the degeneracy of the genetic code in two manners: having more than one tRNA (with a specific anti-codon) for a particular amino acid; and 'wobble' base-pairing, i.e. permitting non-standard base-pairing at the 3rd anti-codon position. Lineage: Eukaryota; Metazoa; Arthropoda; Arachnida; Araneae; Eresidae. The record is from Rfam by way of RNAcentral.